Molecule: unclassified non-coding RNA, 150 nt
Filed under: uncultured fungus
Lineage: Eukaryota; Fungi
Description: sequence contains ITS1, 5.8S rRNA gene
Source: RNAcentral
CCGAGUGAGGGCCUCCGGCCCGACCUCCAACCCUUUGUUAUCAAAACCACUGUUGCCUCGGGGGCGACCCGGGCCCGUCAGCCCAGGGCCCCCGACGGACAAUUUCAAAACACUGCAUCUAUGCGUCGGAUUACAAAGUUUAAUGAAUUA